GCGGACGUGGCGAAACUGGUAGACGCAAGAGACUUAAAAUCUCUCGGCCUUAGGUCAUGCGGGUUCGAUCCCCGCCGUCCGCA
This 83-nucleotide transfer RNA is filed under the name Rhizobium sp. RNAcentral's name for it is "tRNA-Leu". It matches the Rfam family "tRNA". From Rfam's summary of the family: Transfer RNA (tRNA) molecules are approximately 80 nucleotides in length. Their secondary structure includes four short double-helical elements and three loops (D, anti-codon, and T loops). Lineage: Bacteria; Pseudomonadati; Pseudomonadota; Alphaproteobacteria; Hyphomicrobiales; Rhizobiaceae. RNAcentral also lists the same sequence under 2 other names. The record is from RNAcentral.